This 495-nucleotide ribosomal RNA is filed under the name uncultured bacterium. Its description in RNAcentral is "partial 16S ribosomal RNA". It matches the Rfam family "Bacterial small subunit ribosomal RNA", at positions 29 to 507 of the family's 1533-position model. The record is from RNAcentral.
AUGCACGCUGGCGGCGUGCCUAAUACAUGCAAGUCGAGCGAACAGACGAGGAGCUUGCUCCUCUGACGUUGCGGCGGACGGGUGAGUAACACGUGGAUAACCUACCUAUAAGACUGGGAUAACUUCGGGAAACCGGAGCUAAUACCGGAUAAUAUAUUGAACCGCAUGGUUCAAUAGUGAAAGACGGUUUUGCUGUCACUUAUAGAUGGAUCCGCGCCGCAUUAGCUAGUUGGUAAGGUAACGGCUUACCAAGGCAACGAUGCGUAGCCGACCUGAGAGGGUGAUCGGCCACACUGGAACUGAGACACGGUCCAGACUCCUACGGGAGGCAGCAGUAGGGAAUCUUCCGCAAUGGGCGAAAGCUUGACGGAGCAACGCCGCGUGAGUGAUGAAGGUCUUCGGAUCGUAAAACUCUGUUAUUAGGGAAGAACAAAUGUGUAAGUAACUAUGCACGUCUUGACGGUACCUAAUCAGAAAGCCACGGCUAACUACGUG